This 247-nucleotide ribosomal RNA is filed under the name Mobiluncus curtisii. RNAcentral's name for it is "partial 16S ribosomal RNA". It matches the Rfam family "Bacterial small subunit ribosomal RNA", at positions 625 to 868 of the family's 1533-position model. The record is from RNAcentral. Lineage: Bacteria; Bacillati; Actinomycetota; Actinomycetes; Actinomycetales; Actinomycetaceae.
GGUGGGUACGGGCGGGCUUGAGUGCGGUAGGGGUGACUGGAAUUCCUGGUGUAGCGGUGGAAUGCGCAGAUAUCAGGAGGAACACGGAUGGCGAAGGCAGGUCACUGGGCCGUUACUGACACUGAGGAGCGAAAGCGUGGGGAGCGAACAGGAUUAGAUACCCUGGUAGUCCACGCUGUAAACGUUGGGAACUAGGUGUGGGGAGGGGAUCCUGUGUUUCUGCGCCGUAGCUAACGCAUUAAGUUCC